UACGAACCGUACAAACGUUAUUCGGAAUCACUGGGCUUAAAGGGUGCGUAGGCGGCCAUGUAAGUGAGGUGUGAAAUCCCUCAGCUCAACCGAGGAACUGCGCUUCAUACUGCAUGGCUUGAGGGAGACAGGGGUAAGCGGAACUGAUGGUGGAGCGGUGAAAUGCGUUGAUAUCAUCAGGAACACCGGUGGCGAAAGCGGCUUACUGGGUCUCUUCUGACGCUGAGGUACGAAAGCUAGGGGAGCGAACGGG
RNAcentral lists this ribosomal RNA (253 nucleotides) under uncultured bacterium. RNAcentral describes it as "partial 16S ribosomal RNA". It matches the Rfam family "Bacterial small subunit ribosomal RNA", at positions 524 to 776 of the family's 1533-position model. The record is from RNAcentral.